UGGUUGAUUUCCCUGCCAGUAGUCAUAUGCUUGUCUUAAAGAUUAAGCCAUGCAUGUCUAAGUAUAAGCUUUUAUAUGGUGAAACUGCGAAUGGCUCAUUACAACAGUUAUAGUUUAUUUGAUGUUAGUUUCUACAUGGAUAACCGUGCUAAUUGUAGGGCUAAUACAUGUUUGCUGUUUUUCAGUUGCGUUUAUUAGACCUAAAACCUCCCCGCUUUUGCGGUGUAUCGGUGAUUCAUAAUAAAUUAGCGAAUCGCAUGGCUUUUGCUGGCGAUGUAUCAUUCAAGUUUCUGACCUAUCAGCUUUGGACGGUAGGGUAUUGGCCUACCGGGGCAACGACGGGUAACGGGGAAUUAGGGUUCGAUUCCGGAGAGGGAGCCUGAGAAACGGCUACCACAUCUAAGGAAGGCAGCAGGCAA
RNAcentral lists this ribosomal RNA (419 nucleotides) under Theileria equi. RNAcentral's name for it is "SSU rRNA". It matches the Rfam family "Eukaryotic small subunit ribosomal RNA", at positions 5 to 435 of the family's 1831-position model. Lineage: Eukaryota; Apicomplexa; Aconoidasida; Piroplasmida; Theileriidae. The record is from RNAcentral.